RNAcentral lists this small nucleolar RNA (95 nucleotides) under Fukomys damarensis (Damara mole-rat). RNAcentral's name for it is "Small nucleolar RNA U13". It matches the Rfam family "Small nucleolar RNA U13". The record is from Rfam by way of RNAcentral. Lineage: Eukaryota; Metazoa; Chordata; Mammalia; Rodentia; Bathyergidae.
ACCCUUCAGUUCGUGAGUGUGAUAACUGUGUUCGUGCCACAUGUGUGAGAUGUUCUUCCCUCAAACCUUGUUACAGGGACAUUACUUGUCAGCCU